AUGAAUGAAAGGUGCUUAAGAGUGCCCGGUAGGCAAGGGCUCUGCCUGGAGAGCUGGAGACCAAGAUGGUGCUCGGAGAAAAGAUGGCAUCUCGUCAGGUCAUUGCUUGCGCUGAGACAUUUCAUCACCAGGCCGUUUUGGCUCCACGCUGUGUUAGUGCUAGCCUGGAACCGGGAUUUACUGCUUCCUCACACCCGGCCACAAACAGAAGCGCUGCUGAAACGCCGCUGCAAAAAGGGGUCAGCGACAGAGUGCUACCAAAAGGAAGCAGCGAGGGAAUUUCUCCCCCUGCUCAGGUUGCAUCUUAGGGUUUGCUCCGUGCUUGGGCCAUAUGUGACCCGUGCCCCAGGGGGAUGGGGGGGACAUCAAAGGGCAGCCUCAGGCGGGGAUGAGCUCACUCGCCUGUGCUUGACCCCUGCUGCAAGGCAGGGGGUGGCAGCUCCGUGUCCACACAUCCCUGCAACGGCUGGGGGGGGUUUGGGGCAGGGAACCCCCUGCCUGCAGCUGCCUGGGCUUUGUGAGAACCUGAUCUGCCUUCCCUUGAGCCUGUGGCUUGCUCUCAGUAAUGCCACUUGGUCCUGCACGGCAGCAGCUCGCAUCAGGGAUGGGGCCAGCGGCUCUGCUGGACGUCCCCGCGUGGAGCUUUGGUGCCCCUGGCUCCAGCAGAUACGAACAGGCUCUGUGGAUCCCCUCAUCUCCUGGAUCUCCAGGAGAGCAGGGACGUGCCAAGCCAUAUGGCUAAUUUGUACAGGUCCUGUCACAAACGAGCACUGAGCUCUGUAAUUGCCAGAGCCGGCCGCAGGAUGAGUGCUGACUGCACCGCCGCUCUCAGGCUUUGCUGUUUGUUUGCUUUCUGAGCAAAACCAAACCUUCGGGUGCUGUCCUGAAGACGUGUGGGUGUGCUGGGCAAAUUCAAAUCCUCUCUGCUUGAAUUAUUUCCCACCUUGAACACGAUGGUGCCCCAUACCCUAACGCACCUGCAGUGCCUCUCUCUCCCCUGUGUCCUCACCUCUCCGGGCUGAGGAAUCCAGCCUGGCGUCUCCCAGGGCUUCCCAGCUCCUCCUGGCUGCCGAGGCAGUGUUGGUUCAGCUCCAAGGCACGGGGAGGUUUUGCCAGCACGCACCCCGUGCUGAGGACCCACCAGGCACACCACAGCAGCCACCUGUUCUCAGGCUUUGCAGGAGACGAGCAAAAUUUCCCAGACUGCUGCCUCCUCCAGGAAUGCUGCCUGUUAAUUAUUAUUAAUGACUCCCUGCGACUUUUACUAUUACCAAUACUAAUUAAUUGGGUUAUUGCUACCAUUUCUCUCGGAGGUGUUUGGGGGUGGCACGUCCAAAAAAACAGGCUCGGCUUUCAAUAUGGAAAAAGGACAAGAGGGAGCUCACUCCGUGCUCUUUGGGGGGCACAAGGCAGCAGAGGUGAGCAGCCCUUAGCCCUGGCACUCCUUAGCUGGUUCUCCUUAACUUAUUCUCCCUGUGUCUGGAUGAGCAGCCAGUCUCUCCAAGCAGUCAGCCAGGAAGCUACCCAAAGGCAAAGGCCAGGAGAAGACAGACAGCAACCUCCACCACGGCACGCCUUUGUCCCCAGAUCCUGGUCUCAUCAUCGCACUCCAUCACGGAGCAGAUAACAAAGCUGCCCAUCACAGCAGAUCUUCCUGGCCCUGGGCUCGGGGUGAGCCGGGCUCCUCUGUGGUGAGACCUGUCAUUAAACGUAUGGCACAGCCCCAAUUUACCAAAAAUAUCCCUGAAGAAUGGAAAAGAGGAGAGGCGCGUGUGCAGGCAUGCUUGCGUGCAUGCGUGUCCACAAAGCCAUUUGCUGUUUAGGUGUCAGAAAUAAAUUUUACCACUGGAGUCUGCA
This 1857-nucleotide long non-coding RNA is filed under the name Anas platyrhynchos platyrhynchos (common mallard). RNAcentral's name for it is "lncRNA (ENSAPLG00000029742.1)". The record is from RNAcentral. Lineage: Eukaryota; Metazoa; Chordata; Aves; Anseriformes; Anatidae.